Long non-coding RNA from Oxyura jamaicensis (ruddy duck), 6116 nucleotides. RefSeq lists it as uncharacterized. The transcript is spliced from 11 exons. Lineage: Eukaryota; Metazoa; Chordata; Aves; Anseriformes; Anatidae. The record is from RefSeq and is a predicted model, not a curated record.
UAGCAGGAGAGGAGAGUGCUAGGGCAGAAACAGGAGGACUGCAGUGUUUUGGUUAUGAUCCUCAGUGUGGAUGGUACAGAAAUGAAAGCAACACUGUCAAGCCUUUUUGACUACAGUUAAAAUUCUUAUUUGCUAUCAGAAAAGAUUAUGUUAAACUAGCCGUACUUGGGCUGGAGGUACCUUAAAGACAUACUGCAAUGACAAAAAGCAUUACCAACACGAAGAUGCAAUUGCCUUUCAUGGGAGCUUAGCUUCCAGGAAGGGAGCAAGUCUGCGGGGUGCUUGUGGUGUCUGGUCACAGGGGACUUUCAGCUGAGCCCCCUUCAGGCUGCCAUUCUGGGAAGCUCAAAGCCUCAACACUCCACACCACCCCGCAGCACCUGCUGGCCCCCAGAGCAUCAGCUCAGAGCAGCACCACGGAGACAUUUCCAAGAAUGGAAUUUUUCAAAAAGAGUGCACACACAAGAGAGCAAGAAGGAAGGAGAAUGCUCUAAAUAUGUCUUUAGCCAGAAGAAAAAGAGAGAGAAUAAAGCGAGUCAUUUGUAACGUUACGUACAGAGGAUUCUGGUGUUGUGAUCUUUCACUUUUGCCCUGCAUUUAAUACUGAAGAUCACUCAGCCAUGGUGAAACCAGAUGGAGGAAAUUCUCUCCUGCAAGACAUGAAGGCCAAUGACGGAUGAUGCCAGCUGCACUACACAGUACUGCUGCUCUCUCACUCUUGAAAGAAAGCUUUUUCCAGGUGCCAAAUCCAAUCAGAACAACGUAGGUAGCUCAGCUGAUGACAGGGAACCAGAUCCAGUGUGCUGCGAGGAGCAAAAUGCACCGGCAGCUUCAGGAAUCCGCACCCCCAGGAGCCAGACCACCUGGCCUGUCCACACCACCAGGUUUCCUAAGACAUCCCUCCCAGCUCCAGCAAACUUCAGUACCCCCAGGAGAGCCUGAAAAAGGACUCUGAUUAAGGACUACUUCUAGGGGGUUUCCCUCAGCUUGCUUCCACCAAGGGCAGAGAAAAUAUUAAAAGUGGCACACUUCUGUUAAAAAGACUCAAGAGUUAUAACUAGAAAAUGUACAAAAGAAAAGUUACAGCAGAAACAACAAAGAAAACACUCUCCUGAGCCAUAAAUAUCCCUGGUUAGUUCUUCCUGAGACCAAACUCCUGGUGCAUUUAAUGAGCACUUGGCACAAAACAAGAAUGACGCCAGGGCCAGGAGACCUCUGAGCAAGACUUCAGCCCAGGUCUAUACUCCAGCCAAAGCCCGUUGAUCUUGGACUGCGUAUUGUACAUUGCGCUCUGGCAGUUUUUCAAGCAUCUACAGAGAAAGCUUACAGGGCCAAGUUUUAAGAAUGUGUCUGGACUUACAGCUUCAGUAUUGGAUUUGCUUUUGUGAAGAAGAGGCUGCCUUUAAGGCUGACCUGGAAAAGACAUAUUCAGGGAGCAUACUUGCUAAAUGCUUCAGCUUUUCUCUUUUGUUUCCAAGAACAGAAGGUUGUACAUAAAACACACUCCAGUAUUCAUGACUAAAGCUUCAGUUCUUUUUUAAAUGGUGAUACUUCCGAACUCAAGAUCAACCUGUUGUAAACAGAAAUAAGAUCAAUCUGAACUCCCAUUUGUUUGCUUGACGGAGGCAACUUUGAAAGCAAAAUAGAAUGUAGAAGAAGAAAAUCAAGCUGCCUUCAAAGACCAAAUAGAGAAUGAUACAACUGAAAAAUAGUUAUGGAGACAGAGAACAACCUGCCCUCUAUAAACACCUAUGGUUAAAUCAGAUUCAAUAAGAUGUAACAUGGUAUAAUGGUGGCAGAGGUUAUUGAAAUCGCCAUUGACGGAUUUGCCGUGUGUUUUGGUGCUGAACACAUUACAACGUGGUUAAAGGAUCUCGUUAUGAAAAGCAGUUACUGUUAGGAUUUAUGCACAAUAUAUUUCACUUACAAGCCUUUUGUCUUGGAAGGAUAUGACACAAGAGAGAGAGGUAAAGGUUGGGAAGGGAGAAAAGGGGGGGCAUAAGGGCUUUUGUUCCACACGACUUGCAUUUGGAUCAUUAAAAAUGUAUCUAGCUAUACCUGGAAUAUUUCUCUUGUGAGGGAUAGAAAUACAAUACCCCUCGACCAGCUACAACAGUUUUGUUGGAGGGAUUGUCACAGGCAGAAGCAACCCAAAUCUUCCCCACUACAGCCGGGCAGAGCAGGUCCCUCCUGGCAGGAAUACCUCAAUAAACUCAAAGACAGGCUUGCAGGAGUAACUUGCCAUUGCUACUGAGUUUCAGGGGUGAUUUUUUAAGGCACCUUCUGGGUUACAAACAUGAAAAUAGGGCACUCCAGACCCUCAGCCACCUGAAUACAGCCGACAGUGGAUGCUCAUCUCUAACAUUUCUCACCAAAGUGGGUAUUGAUUUCAUUUCUCACUCUAGACUAGUCGCUUGACCAAGCUGCACUUCAACGUUUAACGUGUUGGUCACACUGGCAGGUGGGGACUUGUGGUCUGUAGUCUAUCUUAUGGUGACCUUUAUGACUGUCACAGUCUUAAUCGUAAUAGAAAAGACUGAUGUAAAGGCAUUCAUGUCGUUAUUUUUAGCAAUAGGGAAUGAAAUAGUUGAAGGAGUAGUAAGGUAUGAGUAGAGUGGCAUUUAUUGUCCCCUGUGGAUGAAUGCAGUGAUUUCUUGUACAGUUUAAUUUUUAAUUUUUUAUUUUUUUUUAAGGACAAGGACAAAAAGUUGGCUGGGUAGGCAGCUGAGAGGUGGUAAGUGCUCUGUUGCAGGAGGAGUGCUCAGAAUAAAGGCUGAGCAUCAAGGCUGAAAUUCCUCACAUUAAGUACUCAUAUUUUCCCAGCAUCCUUCUUCCUCUCCAACAAAACUGAGCAGAGAGUUUGUACCUCAAAACUAAAGAUGAGCCAGUGACCUCCUGAAGUCUUAUACAAGUUUCAUGUUUGUUCAGCUCAACAUGGAAGAUGCUCAAAUUAUGUAGCCAUUAAAAACCACCAGAAGAGUCCAGCCGGCAGGGAGUUUGCAAUAUAUGAUGCUGACCUAUGAGCUGGAAGAUCUCUGCUCCCACGAGGAGCUCUAAUAGCAGAAACUGCAUUUUUCAUGGAGACUGGUCUCACCACACAGCCUUUCCCCCCUGCCCUGUAAGAAAUAAAUGAGAGGGAUCAAUAUUUAUUCAUCCUGAUUUUGUCAUUUGCUAGCUUCCCUGGUAAUUUUUGAUGGCUUUCCACUUUCCAAACUAUCCCUUCUUUCUACAAGCACUACCACCUGUCCAAAACAUUUCCCAGCUAUUACAGGAGCUGUAUCAGCAGCCCCCAGCAGAAAUUGGCAUGCAGCAGCACAAUGCUGAUAGGAGACAAGGAAGACGUACCCCUCCUUGCACCUUAAUCACAGCUGAUCCCAAAUCACAAUGUCUGCCAGCUCAGGAAGAACCUGUGAUUUAUGGUGAGGUCCUCCCUGCUGUGAAGGGUUAACUUGAACCCUGCCUGCUACUCGAGCUCCCAGGCUGACCCUCAGUGAAAAUUAAUAGCUUGUAUCUGUUUAAUAUUCCUUCCCAGUGCAUUGCCAGAUCUUUUCAUCUGUAUUUAAAUGGAUCAGUGAUUUUCAUCGUCAGUUGUUUCCUCAUUCCUCUUACAGUUUUUACUAAUCCUUUCCUGUUUGUGGGUGUUUUUUAAUUCACGAAGGAAAGUCAUUUGUUCAUUGUUUUAAUAUUUACUUCACAAGAGUCCUAUCAAGCUGGAGGUAAAGGACUCGUGCCAUUUCAAGAAAUCUACGUUGUUUUGCUCCAGUUAAAGAAGUGGUCCCCUCUACAGAUUUUAUAGGUUACAUUGCAGACAUGGCACCGUCAUUUGCAGCUAACCAAACUGUGCGAGUUAGGCCCAGAUUUCCUAACCACAUGGAUCAGUAUUAUUUGUCAUGCAAGGCGCUGAUUUAAAACUGAUGCAUCUGUUACAAUCAUUGAUGCUCAAGAUGGAAAAGAUCCAUAGGGAGGCUUUCAGCUUUCCAUUUAGUGCUAAAGUGGAACUGAACUCUAUCAGAUGUAUUAUUAUUGUCAUUAUUAUUUAAUAUCCCCCUCUGCCUCUGCUGUGUGCUCGCCACUUAAUGGAAAACAUGAGUACAGACCUUGUCUCGGAUUGCUUGCCAUCCAAGUGACAGACUAGACAUCUCAGUGACAAUAAAACAAAUAUCACAAAGAGAAGGGCCAGGAUCCUCCUGGAAGGGCUGUAAAGGUGGUCACAGCAAUUUUGGGUCUGGUUUUGCUGUUGAAGUGUAAAUGCAAUGAUAGAGUUGUGAGUCUUUAAGAAUGGCAUGACAAUUCAUGGAUUCGAGGAGUGUAUUUGAGCACUGAAACUUUACUAGCAUUAACACCAAAACAUGAUAAAAGGAAAGAAAUGUAAUGAAAUAUUUUGAUGAUGUUUAAUAACAGAGAUGAUCAACCACUAAACUUGCUGCUGCAAUCUUCCUCUUUUAGGAGUGACUUCAGAUGCUCCACAAGCAUCGGGCACUAUCUUGCUCUCAGGCUCGUCUUAGCCAUGCUUCUAAGCUCAGGGACUUCUUUAUCUCAGAGGAGCUGGCUCAUGCCACCUCCAGCUUGGAGCCUGUCCUUGUGCAGUUUCUGCAGGACUUACAUGCCCGACUUUCAAAAAAAUGAGCAUGGCAGCCAAGGCUGGGACCUGUGUGUCUUUAGGGAUGCACUUUGUUGCACUUCAGUAUGCAGGUUAAAGAACUGCAGAGAUACCAAGUUUCCAAGAAAACCUCACGUACAUUAACCUUGGGAAAAGGCAGAGGACAUUCUUCUUGCUGCCAGGUGACCAUUGGAGCUCAGUGACGGUCACGUUCAUCACCCAGAUGAGCUGUCCUCAGAAAAUCAUGUCUUGAAGUUGUUUGGAUCUUAAUGAGUGAUCUAUGAGCUAUCAAAUAUUUCACAUUCUAUAUGGAAAUUUUGAGUGCCCUAAGUGCCACCAUGGCUGGGGUGGCUGCAAAUAUUGUAAAUAAUCUCCUCAGUUUAAUGAGUUACCAAACGAGCAAAGGCUCGUCUACCAGGUAAUGAGUCACAGCCUCACUUCGUUGUCGAUAAGCCGAGACACCUGAUUUACUGCAAGGGCUACCUGUACCAAAACUAAUCAGAGGCUAUCGAGGAAACCCAAACAGAUCCAACCCACCACAGUUUAAUCUCCCCACAAAUAAAAUGUACUCAUAAAUCAGGUCAAGCAAGUAAAUGUGCCCCUCUAAUGCCGCUAUUAGGAAAAAUAAAACCACAAAAAGCUCAGUAGGAUGUGAAAACCAUUAUGGUUUCCCUGGGUAAUGUCAGCAGUAUUACACUAAUUCAUAUUACACAGGGAGCUAUAAGAUACUUUCUGCCCUUACAGUUGGCUAAUUAGUCAAGAUAGGAAAAGCAAUUUGACAAAAAUGUUGAAGUCUCAGUUUCCAUUUUGAAGCUUAGAAUGGUUAUGUUUUUACAUUUUUCAUUGAAUUUCUCAGAUAAACGGAGGAGAAAAGAUAGAUAAAAGGUGGUAAAUGAAUGUCUACAAAGAGAAGAGUGGAGACAGAGUUUGUACUUGGGAGAGCGGGGCCUCUGGAACUUUGAUCCCAACAGGUCAGUUCAGCACUGCUGCAAUUUAUGUAAGACAACAAGGCUGAAUAUUAUGAAAGCUGAUUUAUUUUAUUUAUUUAUUUCUGAAAAGAGCUUGAUUCUCCUCCUCUUAGCAGAAGUGCAACUUCACUGUGCUGUUUCAGAACUGCAGUUUUUCUCUGGUUUUAAGACAGGAAAGAAUCAAGAAUCUUCUGCUUGGGAAAAGACUAAUGAUAUAUAUCCACAUGGAGGAAGUUGUACAAGAAAGUUUGUUAAUGUUAUUUAUUGUCUUAAGAUGUUGUACUCUAUUUUCCUUCAAUGUGAUGCACGCACACUAUUAAUAAUAACAGCCCAUGGCAUUUAGGACAAAAAUUCUAGGAAAUAAAUCUGCAUUCAAAGCUAUCUCUCAGCUUCCACAUACUGGUCAUAAAUCAUUGAAGAGACAGUUAUGAUUGAUUUACAGGGAGAUUUUUAUAUUACCAUAGAUAUAUAUGUUGCCUUCUGUACAACUGUCCUUCAUCCGUAAUUAUACAGCCAAACAUAUCCUCGGUAAUUGAUAGGAUGUUUUC